UACGUAGGGGGCUAGCGUUGUCCGGAUUUAUUGGGCGUAAAGAGCUCGUAGGCGGUUCCGUAAGUCGUGAAGUCAAAUCUCUGGGCUCAACCCAGAAUCGCUUCCGAUACUGCGGUGACUGGAGUCCGGUAGGGGAGUGUGGAAUUCCUGGUGUAGCGGUGAAAUGCGCAGAUAUCAGGAGGAACACCAACAGCGAAGGCAGCACUCUGGGCCGGUACUGACGCUGAGGAGCGAAAGCAUGGGGAGCGAACAGG
RNAcentral lists this ribosomal RNA (254 nucleotides) under uncultured bacterium. RNAcentral's name for it is "partial 16S ribosomal RNA". It matches the Rfam family "Bacterial small subunit ribosomal RNA", at positions 524 to 776 of the family's 1533-position model. The record is from RNAcentral.